RNAcentral lists this ribosomal RNA (164 nucleotides) under uncultured bacterium. RNAcentral describes it as "partial 16S rRNA". It matches the Rfam family "Bacterial small subunit ribosomal RNA", at positions 355 to 511 of the family's 1533-position model. The record is from RNAcentral.
UAGGGAAUCUUCCACAAUGGGCGAAAGCCUGACGGAGCAACGCCGCGUGUGUGAUGAAGGGUUUCGGCUCGUAAAACACUGUUGUAAGAGAAGAAUGACAUUGAGAGUAACUGUUCAAUGUGUGACGGUAUCUUACCAGAAAGGAACGGCUAAAUACGUGUCAG